Molecule: ribosomal RNA, 493 nt
Filed under: uncultured bacterium
Lineage: Bacteria
Description: bacterial SSU rRNA
Rfam family: Bacterial small subunit ribosomal RNA
Source: RNAcentral
GUUUGAUCCUGGCUCAGAUUGAACGCUGGCGGCAUGCUUUACACAUGCAAGUCGAACGGCAGCGCGGGGCAACCUGGCGGCGAGUGGCGAACGGGUGAGUAAUAUAUCGGAACGUACCCAAGAGUGGGGGAUAACGUAGCGAAAGUUACGCUAAUACCGCAUACGAUCCAAGGAUGAAAGUGGGGGAUCGCAAGACCUCAUGCUCCUGGAGCGGCCGAUAUCUGAUUAGCUAGUUGGUGAGGUAAAGGCUCACCAAGGCGACGAUCAGUAGCUGGUCUGAGAGGACGACCAGCCACACUGGGACUGAGACACGGCCCAGACUCCUACGGGAGGCAGCAGUGGGGAAUCUUGCGCAAUGGGCGAAAGCCUGACGCAGCGACGCCGCGUGAGGGAAGAAGGCCUUCGGGUUGUAAACCGCUUUCAGCAGGGACGAAAUUGACGGUACCUGCAGAAGAAGCCCCGGCCAACUACGUGCCAGCAGCCGCGGUAAUAA